RNAcentral lists this ribosomal RNA (496 nucleotides) under uncultured bacterium. RNAcentral describes it as "partial 16S ribosomal RNA". It matches the Rfam family "Bacterial small subunit ribosomal RNA", at positions 28 to 506 of the family's 1533-position model. The record is from RNAcentral.
GAUGAACGCUGGCGGCGUGCCUAAUACAUGCAAGUCGAGCGAACAGACGAGGAGCUUGCUCCUCUGACGUUAGCGGCGGACGGGUGAGUAACACGUGGAUAACCUACCUAUAAGACUGGGAUAACUUCGGGAAACCGGAGCUAAUACCGGAUAAUAUAUUGAACCGCAUGGUUCAAUAGUGAAAGACGGUUUUGCUGUCACUUAUAGAUGGAUCCGCGCCGCAUUAGCUAGUUGGUAAGGUAACGGCUUACCAAGGCAACGAUGCGUAGCCGACCUGAGAGGGUGAUCGGCCAAACUGGAACGGAGAAACGGUCAAGACUCCAACGGGAGGAAGAAGUGGGGAAUCUUCCGCAAGGGGCGAAAGCCUGACGGAGCAACGCCGCGUGAGUGAUGAAGGUCUUCGGAUGGUAAAACGCUGUUAUUGGGGAAGAACAAAUGUGUAAGUAACUAUGAACGUCUGGACGGUACCUAAGCAGAAAGCCACGGCUAACUACGU